GGUGUUAACUCUACUGCUAAAGCCUUCUUUCCAAAGAAAAUACGUGCUAGGUUCGAGUCUCAUCAGUUUUGGAGAGUGGAUUAAGUCUAUAACUUCUCAAAUUCAACAAAAAAAAAAGAAAGUAACUGGCUCUUGUCCAUGGCCAAAAAGAUUAUAGGUUUGGACCAGAACUUCUUGAAUUCAACAGAAAAAUAAAAGUUGGGCUACUGUAUAUUAAUUAUCAAAUCAGAUUUGGAUUUUCAAUCUCUGCUAACUCAAGUCUCGAUAUUAU
This 271-nucleotide long non-coding RNA is filed under the name Brassica napus (rape). Its description in RNAcentral is "long non-coding RNA (BNAP_LNC023174)". Lineage: Eukaryota; Viridiplantae; Streptophyta; Magnoliopsida; Brassicales; Brassicaceae. The record is from RNAcentral.